Molecule: ribosomal RNA, 496 nt
Filed under: uncultured bacterium
Lineage: Bacteria
Description: partial 16S ribosomal RNA
Rfam family: Bacterial small subunit ribosomal RNA
Source: RNAcentral
GAUGAACGCUGGCGGCGUGCCUAAUACAUGCAAGUCGAGCGAACAGACGAGGAGCUUGCUCCUCUGACGUUAGCGGCGGACGGGUGAGUAACACGUGGAUAACCUACCUAUAAGACUGGGAUAACUUCGGGAAACCGGAGCUAAUACCGGAUAAUAUAUUGAACCGCAUGGUUCAAUAGUGAAAGACGGUUUUGCUGUCACUUUAAAAUGAUCCGCGCCGCAUUAGCUAGUUGGUAAGGUAACGGCUUACCAAGGCAACGAUGCGUAACCGACCUGAGAGGGUGAUCGGCCACACUGGAACUGAGACACGGUCCAGACUCCUACGGGAGGCAGCAGUAGGGAAUCUUCCGCAAUGGGCGAAAGCCUGACGGAGCAACGCCGCGUGAGUGAUGAAGGUCUUCGGAUCGUAAAACUCUGUUAUUAGGGAAGAACAAAUGUGUAAGUAACUAUGCACGUCUUGACGGUACCUAAUCAGAAAGCCACGGCUAACUACGUG